This 247-nucleotide unclassified non-coding RNA is filed under the name Hevea brasiliensis (rubber tree). The record is from RNAcentral. Lineage: Eukaryota; Viridiplantae; Streptophyta; Magnoliopsida; Malpighiales; Euphorbiaceae.
CGCCCCUCAAAAUUUGACCACUACACACAAAUAAAGUAGAUUAGUUGUUGGCAUACCAUUUGUACACAGCUCCUACUAGAUCAUUAGUCACUACAAGCUGGUAAUCUUAGUACGCGAAAGCCUAACAGCUUGAUCAAGCCCAUAAAGGGAAUCAAUCAAGUGCAUCCGCAGUGAAGCUGGUCCUUUGGCCAUGUCCAUUCCCAAUUCACCAGCAAUACCAAGUAUGGACAAUGCUGAAGCUGUUGCU